AGGAGAAGAAAUGUUGUAGUUGAGAAAACUACAUGUUUCCCCUUUCAAGAAAAGCUGUCAAUUGCCAAGUAUAAUUUCAAUUACCGCCAAAAACGUGAUUUUGUGAGAUUUUAGUGUGCAGCCAAUCAAAACUUGUUUAACAUACACUCUCGCAUCAGUGAUUUAUGUAGUACAAUACCAAUUCUUUUCACUCACUGUGACAAUUUUAUAUCAGUUUUAUCAUAACUCUUUAAAAUGAGGUAAGGAUUUGUUCUCUGAAAUGGGUCUAGCUAUGUUUGGUAGCUCUUUAUAAAAGGUCAGUUUUAUAUAGAAUAUAUAGGGAAAACUAUUUAGCUAAUUGUGACCUAUAAGAAAAUGUGGGCAAAAAUUGAGAUUUGUCCAGAUAUUGAUAUAAAUGAACUAGUUUGGUCAGAUUUUGGUAAAAAUGAGCUUUUCAUUGAAAUUUUGAUGCAAAAAUUGAUAAAAACCAAAAAAAUCACAUUUUCACUGUUUUGGGUGUAUUUUUUUUAAAAAUGCACAUUUACACUCUAAAUUUUGCCCAUCUAUACCUUUCAGAGGGGACAUUUGGUAUAUUUCAAAGUGUUAGUGUGUAACUUGCUUGCAAUUUAUAGUGAAAAUUUAUGAAUUAGGGCAAAAACCAGCACUGGCUAGAAGAACUGGUUAAAAAUUAUGUCGUGACAUCAAUUUUAAAGGAAAAUUGGCGCAGGGACCCGCGUUAGUGAAAAUGCCAUAAAACCUUGAAAACUGAUUUAAUCAAGCUGAUACUUGGUAUUUUUCAUGCAGAUAUGUUACUGGUACUAUACAAAUGAAAUUGAGACUAUUACAGAAAAAAAGAUUUUCUUAUAGGCCUAACUAAACUAAAGGAACCAGCGUGGGAGCCAUCUGGUCUAGUUGCGUAAUGGCUGCCAGGUAUUUGAACACUAAUUUUUCACUUGGCAUGGCAACAGAGGUCUAAAUUGAAGCUAGUUUCUGUUUAAAUUUCAUUGUGGAUGUAUUUUUGACAUUUUGGUAGGAAAAAUGGGAGAGCAGGUUGUAUUUGGUGAAGUGAAGCUCAAUUUUAGUAUGAGUAGUACUUUCAGGUCACAGCAGUGUGAUUUUGAUGUCAGUUUACAGUAAGCAAAUGUGACCAGAGAAAUCUCUCUUAGAGGAUACAUGACCCCUACUUAUCUCUUCAUUUUAUAUCUGUUUUAUCAUAACUCUUUAAAAUGAGGUAAGGAUUUGUUCUCUGAAAUGGGUCUAGCUAUGUUUGGUAGCUCUUUAUAAAAGGUCAGUUUUAUAUAGAAUAUAUAGGGAAAACUAUUUAGCUAAUUGUGACCUCAAAGAAUUUAAUUGCCAUGGCAACCGGAAGGAAAAACUUUAAAAAUCUUCUUGUCCAAAACCACAGGGCCUAGGGCUUUUAUAUCUGGUGUGUAGCAUCAUCUGGUGGUCCUCUACCAAAAUUGUUCAAAUUAUCCCCCUAGGAUCAAAUUUGGCUCCGCCCAAGGGGUCACAUGGUUUAUAUAGACUUAUAUAGGGAAAAUUUUGAAAAUCUUCUUGUACAAAACCACAUGGCCUAGGCCUUUGAUAUUUGGUAUGUAGCAUCAUCUAGUGGUCCUCUUCCAAAAUUGUUCAAAUUAUCCCUCCAGGGUCAAAUAUGGCCCCGCCCCAGGGGUCCCAAGUUUUACAUAGGCUUAUAUAUGAAAAAAGUUUAAAAAUCUUGUCUGAAACCAUACGACCUAUGCUUUAGAUAUUUGGCAUGAUGCAUUGUCUAGUAGUUCUCUACCAAAAUUUUUCAAAUUAUGCCCCUGGGGUUAAAAGAGGCCCUUGCCCUGGGGUCACUUCGUAACUAUGACGUGAGUUAUAUAGGAAAAAAUACUUAAACAAAUCAUUUGAUCCUAUUUCCAAGACUGUUUAAUUAUAAUUACCUGAUGACCCCAAGUAAUACGAUGUCACUUGACUGUGACCUUGACCUACUGACCAACUUUCUUGUGUUUUUUUUAAGAUACAGCCUUGAAAUUUUGAUGACAUACACAGUUUUGCACACCAAUCAUAAAACAAAGUUUCAUUGAGCAUGAAUGUGCCCUACUGACUUUCUUGAUAUUGUAUCAUCAGUUUGAUCUUUGAAACAUAUAGCUCAUAUUACUCAGGUGAGCGAUCCGGGGUCAUCAUGACUCUCUUGUUUAAAUAUAAGUAUAUACAAUGUAGUGUCACACAGUGCUUAUUAUCAGCAUUAUACACUAAAGUGCUGUCCAACUGAAAUAUUAAAAGAUUUUUAUGAAUUUGUCAGGACUCCAGAUAAGAUGCAUAUUAGCACAUUGAAAUAUAGUUGAAUAUCUUUACCUUGAUAUCGGUUAGCUCGAUACUUCUGAUAGCACGAUGUGUUUUAGUUGGUCCCGACUUUUCUCUGUAUAGUUUAAUGGUAUUAUUUAUCAUUAGCUCGAUAUCAUUAGCUCAAUUUUCUUUUUAGCUGGAGGGGUUUCACACCUGGUUUCGUCGAUAUCACAGAGCGUCUAAAAUAUCGAUGUUAUUUUAAGGUGUGUAAGUUAACCUAUUGUUGUCCGCCGAUGUACUAAUUAUAAUCAGGUUAGAUUGUGCGUGUGUUUUUGUUAUAUGUUAGCAAGUUUGCAUUUAAUUCGCAAUAAUCAGUCUAAAAGGCAUGCAAGUUGGAAAAUCUGUUUUCCAGUAUAACAAUAUUUCGAUUGAGUAACAAUAUGCGUAUUUAAAUGACAAAUUUUCGUUAUUAAAACCCAUUAGAAAUGACGUAUUUACGUUUUAUAUUAUUUCUUUCCCCUUUUAAACCCACUAAAAGAAGCAUGGGAUGUAAUGACAAUAUAGACGUCCUACACAGAUACAAAAUAUAGUCCAAGAUAUACAAUAUCAUUACGUCGAACUUCUGAUAUGUCAAAUUUUUGCAGUCCCUGGAAUAUCGAGGUAAUGGUAUUUGACUGUAAUGCAUAUACGCAUAUCUGAUAAUUUUCAAGUGUUUAAAUACCUAUGUGAAAUAACAGAAAAGCAGUGAUUUUUUUCUAGUGUAAACAACAACUAAUUCGUCUGAAUGCUUUAAUGUGUCAGUCUAGCUAAUAUUCCCAUUGUCGAUUAGGUGUUUGCAUUAACAUAUAAGUUUGGAACUGCAUUGGUACGGUGGUAUAUUUUAAAGUGGGGUUGGUUAAAAUUAUCAACUUCUAGUGCAGUGAAAACAACAAAUUGACACUGUUAAAGAAAUUAAAAAGUAAACUGUGUUAACACUAUGCAUAUUAUAAACCAACAGAAAGUGAUCCCUAAAGCAUCAUUGAAAUUACUGGAUUGAGUAAUUAGUGUAUCACCAAAGCAUGUGUCUGUUUCCAGGAAAACCCUGGCAGUUUGGAAUGAGGGCUUAUCAAUUCCGGAGAUCCCUACAAAUUAAAUUAAAAUGUGCAUUAUGCAUUUAGUGCAAAAGGAACAAGAGCUGUCUGAUGGCAGCACGCUCAACUUUUCAAAGGCUUGUCAAUAAAAUGGAUUAUAUAAUAGUACUGUUACAGCUGUGUCACAAUAAGGGUCAAAAUUAUAAAACCUGCUGUAAUUUACAAGUACUUACAGUGGCAGUAAUUUGUAUGCAGUAUUAACACAUGUGGCGGGGUCAACACCUUGUUAUUUACUGUUUCUUUAUAAUAAUUUACUAACCAUGUAUUGUGCUGAUUUCAUGGUAGAUUACGGUUACCGUAGAUGUCGGUAGUUAAAUAGUUUUGGGUAAUAGAAGUAGCACAUGAAAUCAGUCAAGUAGAACAAUAUCAUGCGAAUCAUUCACUUUCCACGCAGAGUUGAUAGCUUGAGCAGCAGCUUAGAUUUUUUUUAGUUUUUUAUUCAAAUUACUAUUAUUCUAUUACUAUUGAUAGAAGGCACCUUGCAGUAUGUAGUACAAGCACAGCUGCACAGUAACAGUUCAGAGGGCGAUUGUGGGUGUAAGCACAGAUGUGAGACAGAUACAUUGUUGAAGAUCACUGAUAUCAUUACAUCACUAUAAUAUUAUAAAACUGAACCGGAGUUGUUGUCCAUUACAUCACUCAUGAGGUCACAUUUUGGAGCCCCCAACGACAGGGAUUGACAAUGCCCUUGGUACUACCAGUUUACUCCUGGAUAGAGGAUCUCGUAGAUGUCACAUUAGCAAUGAACUUUUUGGAAAAUCUACUCACUUUAGUGAUGACGACAAACAUUAUACACCAUUUUAAGCAGUGUAUACACAGCUGCACAGUAACAGUUCAGAGGGCGUUUGUGGGUGUACGCACAGAUGUGAGACAGAUACAUUGUUGAAGGUCACUGAUAUCAUCACAUCACUUGAAACCUGUGAAGUUUUAGUGAAGCAGAAUAGUUACAGAUAUGCAGGUCUUUGUUCAGCAUGGUGUAUAUGGAAAACACAGUGGAUGGCCAGCAUAGAAAACAUUUAAUGAGUGUUCAUGCAUGAAAUACAUUUUUAUAAGUUCUUUGUUUGAAACCGGUAUGUGGAAAACAGAAUGGGGUAUUACAAAUGCCGCAAUGUGAUAUUCUCUUGAAUGUUUAGAAAUUUGAGCUGCGGCCGAGGAAAUCUCACCUAAGUCGGAUAUGUAGUUUUUCUAUUCUUGUUUACAUUAAAUUGCUCUUUUGGUUACUUGAAUUUACACAGUACACACAGUCUGAAUAGAAAAGUAUGUGUUAUCAUAAUCUGUGCAAGAAAAAUCAGUUCAAGGACUUGAAAAUUGAACAGAUAAGGCCUGAAAUUGGCAUAUUUUAAUUGAUUUUGAAGGAAAACAGGCAGAUUUUCACACACUAGACUUGCAUAUUGGUUUCCUUAAUGCUUAAUUGAACAUAAAUCAUCAUAUCUGAGGUCCUGAAUUGUAUAUUUACUUAUUCUGUUGGAUUUCUUACACUUUAGUACCUAAAAACCUGAAAUGAGAGCACUCGGACAAUGUGAAGUUUGUCGCAUAGACGGGGAUUGACCACCUUUGUACAUAUAUGUCUACAGCUUCUCAGAUUUGACCGAAGACAAUUGUUCGGUGUUGUGAAUGGAUGUUGUUCGGCCGCAGGCCUUCCAAUCACACAGAAGAUCCUGGUUCGAUCACACGAAGGGUCACUUCCAUUGAUAUUAGUCACCGGAAAAAAUAGGAGCACCAGUUGUAGUUUCUCAGCCUUUCAUAAUAAACAGCUUCCCUGAGAAAAGAGAAAAAAGUACAAGUGAAUUAAAGCACAUUGAGGACAGUACAUGAGAUAACAAAGCACAUUGAAGUACAUGAGAUGACAACGAUAUUUUCAUUCACACCCGAGUCCAUGGAGGCAGUAAACAGUUUCUAGCCCUGCAGUCGAAUUGGCCAGGGUCAAACUCAGAAAUAUAAGGUGUGCUUCAUUACAGUUACAGAUCAGUUUGGUUAUUCGGGGCACCACGACUUGUUUUGGGACUGCGAAAAAACUGUUUAUUGCCACCUUAAGAUUGAGGUCUUAGCCUGUACGGAAGUGUAUUUACAGUUGUAGUAUCCGGGUUUGCAUUUUCGGAAACAUAAAGAACAUCCCUUGCUUCAGUAGUGUUCAAUCGCUGCAGUUGAAGGUCUGGAGUGUCAGUCAUUUCAACAUUCAUAAUAGGUGUGCUUCAUUACAGUUGCAGACCGGUUUGGUUAUUCUGGGCACCACCACUUGUUUUGGGACUGCGAAAAAAAUGUUUAUUGCCACCCAUUGCUUUUUAGCGAAAACGAACUACACACAAUUGUCAUGAUGUUGUAUGCAAUUUUUCCAUAAUUCCUUAAAAAAAGCUGACAAUCAGCGUAUUUUUUAUGAUAAGUAACAUCAAAAUUUAAGGAACUAACUCUGGUUUAUCCUAUUGCAUCAAGUAAACAAAGUUAAAAACACUUCCAGACGACAUUACAAAAGUGUACCAGUAUCCGGAUAGUUCAUUUUGGAUAUAUUUUUGUACAGAGUUUUAUAGCACUAUUCUGUUAAUGAAAUAUUGACAAAAGACCUAAUCAAUGUAAAAUGAAUUUUGUUAAAUAUUAGUUUACAAUGUGACCUGAAACAGACCUUUUCAUUAUGUUGUAACAUGUAGCAUGGUUUCAAGCUUAUAUACAUUUAUAAAGGCCUCCACUAUAUCAUAUUCACAUGAACAAGCUGACAUCCAUAGCGACAUUUUUAAGAAAAAGGCUUGAAUGUUCUGACCAGAAGUACAAAGUAAUGUUAAAACCCAUUUGUAAAUUGUUACUGGUUUUUGGAAGAUAUCAUUUACAACUUUUAAAUUAUUCUUUGAUAAGUGUGCAAUAAUAUCGUAAGUGUUUUUUGAAUACAUUACUAUAAACAUCUGGAAACGCAAUUACGGUAACUUUUAUUACGCCCCCCUUCGAAGGAGGGGUAUAUUGUUUUGCAGAUGUCGGUCUGUCGGUCGGUCGGAAUGUAGACCAAUCCGUUUCCGGAUGAUAACUCAAGAACUCUUGGGCCUAGGAUCAUGAAAGUUGAUAGGGAGGUUGGUCAUCAUUAGCAGAUGACCUCUAUUGAUUUUGAGGCCAGUAUGUUAAAGGUCAAGGUCACAGUGACCCUGAACAGUUAAACCGUUUCCGGAUGAUAACUCAAGAACGCUUAGGCCUAGGAUCACAAAAUUUUAUUGGGAGAUUGGUCAUGACCAGCAGAUGACCCCUAUUGAUUUUGAGGUCAGUAUGUCAAAGGUCAAGGUCACAGUGACCUUGAAUAGUAAAAUGGUUUCCGGAUGAUAACUCAAGAACACUUGGGCCUAGGAUCAUGAAAGUUGAUAGGGAGGGAGGUUGGUCAUGACCAGCAGAUGAUCCCUAUUGAUUUUGAGGUCAGUAUGUUAAAAGUCAAGGUCACAGUGACCCUGAGCUGUUAAACUGUUUCUGGAUGAUAACUCAAGGACAUUUAACUCAAGAACACUUGGGCCUAGGAUCAUGAAAGUUGAUAGGAAGGUUGGACAUGACCAGCAGAUGACCCCUAUUGAUUUUGAGGUCAUUAGGUCAAGGUCACAUUGGCCAGGAACAGUUAAACGGUUUCUGAUCUUCUUGUCCAAAACCAUAGGGCCUAGGGCUUAGAUAUUUUGUAUGUAGUACAAUCUAGUGGUCCUCUACAAAGAUUGUUCAGAUUAUUUCCCUGGGGUCAAAUAUGGCCCCACCCUGGGGGUCACAUGGUUUAUAUAGACUUACAUAGAAAAAAACUUUGAAAAACCUCUUGUCCAAAACUACAGGGCCAAGGUCUGUGACAUUUUGUAUAUGACAUCAUCUAGUGGUCCUCUACUAAGAUUGUUCAAAUUAUUCCCCUAGGGUCAAAUAUGGCUCCACCCUGGGGGUCACAUAGUUUACACAGACUUAUAUAGGGAAAAACUUUGUAAAUCUUCUUGUCCAAACCACAAAGACUAUGGCUUUGAUAUUUUGUAAUGUAGCAUCAUCUAGUGGUUCUCUACCAAGUUUUUUCAAAUUAUCCCUCUAGGGUCAAAUAUGGCCCCGCCCCAGGGGUGACAUGGUUCAUAUAGACUUAUAUAGGGAAAAACUUAGAAUCUUCAUGUCCAUAACUUAUAUCAUUCAAAUUUGGACCAUAUGUGUAGUUAUGAAUGGCAAGAUGAACCUUGACAUGAGUUGACCUUGAUCUUGACCUAGUGACCUACUUUCUCAUUUUUGUAGCUACAGCCUUCAAAUUUAGACCACAUGCAUAGGUUUGUGUACCGAAAAAAACUUUGAUCUUCUUAUUGACCUAGUGACGAGUUGACCUUGAUCUUGACCUAGUGACCUACUUUCUCAUUUUUGUAGCUACAGCCUUCAAAUUUAGACCACAUGCAUAGGUUUGUGUACCGAAAAAAACUUUGAUCUUAUUGACCUAGUGACCUACUUUCACAUUUUUGAAGGUACAUGCCUCAGAUUUGGACCACAUGCAUAGUGUUUUUGUUCCCCAAUAAAAUUUGACCUUGAUUUUGACCUAGUGACCUUCUUUCACAUUUCUCAAGCUACAGCCUUCAAAUUUGAACCACAAGCAUAGUUUUGUGUACUGAAAUGAACUUUGAUCUUCAGAUUGACUUAGUGACCUACUUCCACAUUUCUGAAGGUACAGGCUUCAAAUUUAGACCAAUUGCAUAAUUUUGUGUUCAGAAAUAAAAUUUGACCUUCAUUUUGACCUAGUGACCUACUUUCACUUUUGUCAAGCUACAGUCUUCAAAUUUGAACCACAUUUUUGUGUACGGAAAUGAACUUAGAUCUUGAGAUUGACCUAGUGACCUACUUCCACAUUUCUCAAGCCACAGGCUUCAAAUUUGGACCGCAUGCAUAUUUUUGUGUUCUGAAUUUAAAUUUGACAUUGAUUUUUACCUAUUACCUACUUUCACAUUUCUCAAGCUACAGCCUCCAAAUUUGAAGCAUUUGCAUAGUUCUGUCUACCGAAAUGAACUUUGACCUUGAAAUUGAUCUAGUGACCUACUUUCACAUUUCUCAAGCCACAGCUUUCAAAUUUGGACCACAUACACAUUGUUUUGUAUCGAAAUGAAAUUUGACCUUGAUCUAGUCUUGAAAUUUGGAACAUUCAAAAAUGGCUCAGUGGAUGGUGCCAAGAUCACUCUGUAAUCUCUUGUUAGGUUAGUAGGUAAGAGGUCAAGGUCAGAUUAAACCAGAAUAGUAAUUUUUGUUUACAGUGAGCAUAUAAUUUCUGUUCCUUGUGCAAUUACUUAAUGCAUCAAGGGGUGCAUUUCGUGUUCGACGAGCUCUUGUUUAAACAAUUAUAAAAUGCAACAUGAAACUUUCGAGAACAUUUUUCUGCUUUUGUAAUCAAUCAGUAAUAAAUCUUGAAAAAAGUUUAACUUACUAGAAAAAAAAGAAAAAAAGUUUGGUCCUAGUGUGACUUAAACCUACACCCUCCUGAAAAAAUUAGUCAAAGUAGGUUUAUGGUAGGAAUUAAAUACUCUUCAAAAGGAGGUACACUGUUAUGGGUCCAUUACUUUUAAGUUUUUUUUAAACAAAACAAAUUUUACAACUGAAGGGAGGUUACUCGCUUUUUAAAAAGAACACUUAAAAGCCCUUAGUAAAUGGAAUUUUAUUAAAUUAAGGAAUUAGUUUCAGGCUACUCUAAAGUGAUGUAAAAUUUUAAGAUAAAAAAUUUAAGGUAAUAUUUCUUGUUCAGUCUAAACAUUUUAUUUACAUGCAUGGAUUCACCAAUGGUAAAUAAAGAAAAGUAUGCACUUGAA
This is a long non-coding RNA of Mercenaria mercenaria, 9142 nucleotides long. RefSeq lists it as uncharacterized. The transcript is spliced from 11 exons. Lineage: Eukaryota; Metazoa; Mollusca; Bivalvia; Venerida; Veneridae. The record is from RefSeq and is a predicted model, not a curated record.